Molecule: ribosomal RNA, 245 nt
Filed under: uncultured Sandarakinorhabdus sp.
Lineage: Bacteria; Pseudomonadati; Pseudomonadota; Alphaproteobacteria; Sphingomonadales; Sphingosinicellaceae
Description: partial 16S ribosomal RNA
Rfam family: Bacterial small subunit ribosomal RNA
Source: RNAcentral
UACGGAGGGGGCUAGCGUUGUUCGGAAUCACUGGGCGUAAAGCGUGCGUAGGCGGCCAUUCAAGUCAGAGGUGAAAGCCCAGGGCUCAACCUUGGAACUGCCUUUGAAACUAGAUGGCUCGAACACGGGAGAGGUGAGUGGAAUUCCGAGUGUAGAGGUGAAAUUCGUAGAUAUUCGGAAGAACACCAGUGGCGAAGGCGGCUCACUGGACCGUUGUUGACGCUGAGGCACGAAAGCGUGGGGAG